This 277-nucleotide ribosomal RNA is filed under the name uncultured Thermovirga sp. RNAcentral describes it as "partial 16S ribosomal RNA". It matches the Rfam family "Bacterial small subunit ribosomal RNA", at positions 1109 to 1382 of the family's 1533-position model. Lineage: Bacteria; Thermotogati; Synergistota; Synergistia; Synergistales; Thermovirgaceae. The record is from RNAcentral.
AUCCAGUUGCCAUCGGGCGAGCCGGGCACUCUAGGAGGGACUGCCGGCGACAAGCCGGAGGAAGGUGGGGAUGACGUCAAGUCAUCAUGGCCCUUAUGUCCAGGGCGACACACGUGCUACAAUGGCCGGCACAGCGGGAAGCGGAGGGGCGACCCUGAGCGGAAUCCCUUGAAAGCCGGUCCCAGUUCGGAUUGCAGUCUGCAACUCGACUGCAUGAAGUUGGAAUCGCUAGUAAUCGCGGAUCGGCCAAGCCGCGGUGAAUACGUUCCCGGGCCUU